AACAUCGCCUCCUGCAAAAAUCAAUGUAUAGGAGGUCCUGCCUGCCCAGUGACAACUUGUUAAACGGCCGCGGUAUUUUGACCGUGCUAAGGUAGCGCAAUCACUUGUCUUUUAAAUGAAGACCUGUAUGAAUGGUGGAACGAGGGCUUAACUGUCUCCCUUCUCCCGUCAAUGAAAUUGAUCUGCCCGUGCAGAAGCGGACAUAUAUAUACAAGACGAGAAGACCCUUUGGAGCUUAUUGGGGCGACCGCGGGGGAAAACAAAGCCCCCACGUAAUACCGAGAGAGACAUCUCUAAGCCACAGAAUAUCUGACCAAAAGAUCCGGCCCACAGGCCGAUCAACGAACCAAGUUACCCUAGGGAUAACAGCGCAAUCCCCUCCAAGAGUUCAUAUCGACGAGAGGGUUUACGACCUCGAUGUUGGAUCAGGACAUCCUAAUGGUGCAGCCGCUAUUAAGGGUUCGUUUGUUCAACGAUUAAAGUCCUACGUGAUCU
Molecule: ribosomal RNA, 495 nt
Filed under: Curimatella immaculata
Lineage: Eukaryota; Metazoa; Chordata; Actinopteri; Characiformes; Curimatidae
Description: partial 16S ribosomal RNA
Rfam family: Bacterial large subunit ribosomal RNA
Source: RNAcentral